AUGACACGCAAGGUGGCACGGGCGGUUCCCGCGGGGGGGAGGUGGGUGGUGGUGGGGGGCAGGGGUGGUAGCAAGAGGUUGCGGGGCGAUGGUGGAAGGUUUAACGGGACCGAUUUCUGGAACAUUCGGGACUGCGGCACCCUACGGCCAGACCGAGAUUUGGGUCUGCGCAGGCGACGAUGGGUGGUCCGACGGGCUUCAGGACUUGAUGGCGUAACCCCCUUCUUUCCCCACGUACAGGUCCGGCUCUUUCUCCGAGUUUAUUUCCUGUAUUGCUUACGACAACGCUGCGAGGAGCGUCCCAUGGCUGCUGCAGUUGGUGGAUUAACAAACCUCAGUUACCCUGGUCACCUUCCUCCCAGGGGAGGAGGAGGAGGUGGGAUGGUUGUAGCACCUUCAGAGCAGCGUGAGCUCCAGAACGCAGAAUCGAGAACUCAGAGGAGUUGA
RNAcentral lists this long non-coding RNA (447 nucleotides) under Ursus maritimus (polar bear). Its description in RNAcentral is "lncRNA (ENSUMAG00000022336.1)". The record is from RNAcentral. Lineage: Eukaryota; Metazoa; Chordata; Mammalia; Carnivora; Ursidae.